UACGGGGGGUGCAAACGUUGCUCGGAAUUAUUGGGCGUAAAGCGCACGUAGGCGGUCCUGUAAGUCGGGUGUGAAAGCCCCAGGCUUAACCUGGGAAGUGCACUCGAAACUGCAGGGCUUGAGUAUGGAAGAGGGUCUCGGAAUUCCCGGUGUAGAGGUGAAAUUCGUAGAUAUCGGGAGGAAUACCAGAGGCGAAGGCGGCUACCUGGACAAUUGCUGACGCUCAGGCACGAAAGCGUGGGGAGCAAAAGGG
Molecule: ribosomal RNA, 253 nt
Filed under: uncultured bacterium
Lineage: Bacteria
Description: partial 16S ribosomal RNA
Rfam family: Bacterial small subunit ribosomal RNA
Source: RNAcentral